AGAAUAAGAGACUAGAGAUUGGUGUUUAGAUUCAAGAACAAGACUUAGUUUCAUGAAGGAGAAGGGAAACCCCCUUACUCACUUAAUUCUUUACAAUCGCCAAUGCUUGGCUUAUAUAUGGCUCUACACUUUGCACAAUCAUAAACCUAUAUCCUAAGGCUGAUAUUAACUUGAGUGAUGGACGGCCUGGAUGAGGGGAGACUGGUCUUUGGUCUUGGCAGCUUGUCUUGUAAUUGGUUGAUUCAAACUGAGGCAAAAGGAGACU
RNAcentral lists this long non-coding RNA (265 nucleotides) under Brassica napus (rape). Its description in RNAcentral is "long non-coding RNA (BNAP_LNC015264)". Lineage: Eukaryota; Viridiplantae; Streptophyta; Magnoliopsida; Brassicales; Brassicaceae. The record is from RNAcentral.